This 497-nucleotide ribosomal RNA is filed under the name Pulchrana signata (yellow-spotted frog). RNAcentral's name for it is "partial 12S ribosomal RNA". It matches the Rfam family "Bacterial small subunit ribosomal RNA", at positions 794 to 1533 of the family's 1533-position model. The record is from RNAcentral. Lineage: Eukaryota; Metazoa; Chordata; Amphibia; Anura; Ranidae.
GCCUAGCCGUAAAUAAUCAACUUACACUGACCAACGCCAGGGGACUACGAGCAAUGCUUAAAACCCAAAGGACUUGACGGUGUCCCACCCAACUAGAGGAGCCUGUUCUAGAAUCGAUGAUCCCCGCUAUACCUGACCACUCCUAGCUUUUUCAGCCUGUAUACCUCCGUCGAAAGUUUACCAUGUGAAUGUUAUCAGUAGGCCCAAUGAUUCCCCAUCAGUAUGUCAGGUCAAGGUGCAGCCCAAGGAGCGGAGAGAAAUGGGCUACAAUUUCUAAAAUAGAACACACGGAAGUCUGUGUGAAAUCACAGGCACGAAGGUGGAUUUAGCAGUAAAAAGAAAAUAGAGAGUUCUUUUUAACCUGGCUCUGGGACGUGUACACACCGCCCGUCGCCCUCUUCGAUAAACCUAACCACAGUCUCUAACCCGUCUGAAUUCCCUUAGAAGAGGUAAGUCGUAACAUGGUAAGUAUACUGGAAAGUGUACUUAGAUCACUA